AAUGAUGAGCCUGAUUAAAGGACUAUCGUGAUAGGAUAAAACAUGUAGUUAAAACAACUACCUUCAUUA
RNAcentral lists this transfer RNA (69 nucleotides) under Amitermes sp. QLD_277. RNAcentral describes it as "tRNA-Ile". Lineage: Eukaryota; Metazoa; Arthropoda; Insecta; Blattodea; Termitidae. The record is from RNAcentral.